RNAcentral lists this unclassified non-coding RNA (111 nucleotides) under soil metagenome. Its description in RNAcentral is "partial internal transcribed spacer 1". The record is from RNAcentral.
CAAAAAAUGUUAUUUGAGGCUUUGUUCUGCAGUCGUCAGACAGCAGAACGAGUCCCAUGUUACAUACACGCUUGUGUUGUUUGACAGAGUCAGUUACGAUUUAAGCAUGCA